RNAcentral lists this unclassified non-coding RNA (536 nucleotides) under Hevea brasiliensis (rubber tree). The record is from RNAcentral. Lineage: Eukaryota; Viridiplantae; Streptophyta; Magnoliopsida; Malpighiales; Euphorbiaceae.
UGCACUUGCGGACACACCGUAUCAGUGUGUGAGUAUGAAUUGACAUACGGAUGUGUGAGUGCUCCAGAUGGCCUUUAAUGUGAUUAUGACUUGACCUGUCUGAACUGUGUGAAGGUGUUGCAAUUAUUCUUAGGGAUGCACUAGACUUAGGUAGUUAUAGAAAUUAUUUGUACCUUUCUUUUGUUUAACCUGCUUUCCACCUCGUAGGUCUCUUAGUUGCUUUAUCUAUAUUUUGAGUUGUAACUUUUGAAAGUUCUAUAACUUCACAUGUGUAACAGAUGAUUAUUUAAAAUAUGUAAUUUAUUGAUUUUGUAUUGUGGAUUUAUGGAUUGAAUGGGUUAUGUGGAUGAGAGAGCUGAGCUCUCAGUGAUCAUAUUGAAUUAUUGAUGAUUGUAAGGGUGAGUUGAGCUACCAAAAUAAUUUUAUUUUGUGAUCACAGGUUGGGUGAGCUAAAAAUUUUUUGUUGGGUAGUCCAUUUUAUGGCCGGAUUCUGUCCGGUUGUUUUUCUAAAAUUUGGGCUCAAAUAUGGGCUUUAU